GAUGAAGAACGCAGCGAAAUGCGAUAAGUAAUGUGAAUUGCAGAAUUCAGUGAAUCAUAGAAUCUUUGAACGCACAUUGCGCCCCUUGGUAUUCCGAGGGGCAUGCCUGUUCGAGCGUCAUUAUAACCCCUCAAGCUCAGCUUGGUGUUGGGGCCUGCUGCACUGGCAGCCCUUAAAAUCAGUGGCGGCGCCAUCUGGCUCUAAGCGUAGUAAUUCUUCUCGCUAUGGAGUCCUGGUGGAUGCUUGCCAUCAACCCCCAAUUUUUCUAUGGUUGACCUCGGAUCAGGUAGGGAUACCCGCUGAACUUAAGCAUAUCAAUAAGCGGAGGA
This 329-nucleotide unclassified non-coding RNA is filed under the name soil metagenome. RNAcentral's name for it is "partial contains 5.8S ribosomal RNA, internal transcribed spacer 2, and large subunit ribosomal RNA". The stretch from base 1 to 120 matches the Rfam family "5.8S ribosomal RNA", at positions 35 to 154 of the family's 154-position model. The record is from RNAcentral.